This 29-nucleotide non-coding RNA is filed under the name Mus musculus (house mouse). The record is from RNAcentral. Lineage: Eukaryota; Metazoa; Chordata; Mammalia; Rodentia; Muridae.
UAAAGGGUUGAAAUGUUGCAAAGUACUGG